GGAUGCGAUCAUACCAGCACUAAAGCACCGGAUCCCAUCAGAACUCCAAAGUUAAGCGUGCUUGGGCGAGAUAAGUACUAGGAUGGGUGACCUCCUGGGAAGUCCUCGUGUUGCAUUCC
RNAcentral lists this ribosomal RNA (119 nucleotides) under Triticum aestivum (bread wheat). The record is from RNAcentral. Lineage: Eukaryota; Viridiplantae; Streptophyta; Magnoliopsida; Poales; Poaceae.